Molecule: ribosomal RNA, 467 nt
Filed under: uncultured bacterium
Lineage: Bacteria
Description: partial 16S ribosomal RNA
Rfam family: Bacterial small subunit ribosomal RNA
Source: RNAcentral
GACGAACGCUGGCGGCGUGCUUAACACAUGCAAGUCGAACGGAAAGGCCCUGCUUUUGUGGGGUGCUCGAGUGGCGAACGGGUGAGUAACACGUGAGUAACCUGCCCUUGACUUUGGGAUAACUUCAGGAAACUGGGGCUAAUACCGGAUAGGAGCUCCUGCUGCAUGGUGGGGGUUGGAAAGUUUCGGCGGUUGGGGAUGGACUCGCGGCUUAUCAGCUUGUUGGUGGGGUAGUGGCUUACCAAGGCUUUGACGGGUAGCCGGCCUGAGAGGGUGACCGGCCACAUUGGGACUGAGAUACGGCCCAGACUCCUACGGGAGGCAGCAGUGGGGAAUAUUGCACAAUGGGCGGAAGCCUGAUGCAGCAACGCCGCGUGCGGGAGGACGGCCUUCGGGUUGUAAACCGCUUUCGCCUGUGACGAAGCGUGAGUGACGGUAAUGGGGAAAGAAGCACCGGCUAACUACGU